GGAAAGAGAAAAGAGAUAAAGAGACACGGAGGACAGGAGAGAAGAAGGAAACAGGAGCAGAAAGAGAGGAGAGCAGAGAGAGCAGAAAGAACAGUAAGAGAGCAGGGUCGUAGUGAGCCACAGGGAGUCGCCCAGUUCCUGUUUUCCUAGUUGGAAGAGUUCCUCCCUCCGUCCUAACGCCGGUCAGCCCCAAGGGAGUGAUUCUGUACCUCCAAAGACAGUCUCGCCCUACUCUGCCCCACCCGGCUCGCACCACAUCCCACCGCAGUCGCUGAGGAGGAGUGAGUCCUGGAGUCAGCACAAGUGGGCCAAAGUUCAGGAGUUUCCGAGACCUCAAAACAGGGAGGCUGCAAGUCAGACAGACCUGGGAGGGAAGUACCUGGUUGGCCAAGGUUCUAGGGGUCUCUAAAGCUUCUUGUUCAGCACCCAGUGAUGGCCCGCCGAAGACUGGCCCUGGGCCUAGCAUUCUGCCUGCUUGCUAGCACAAGUCUCUGGUUCCUGUGGUGAGUUGCCUUUUUGAGUUUCCUCACUGCCCUUCACAGCACUCCUCCCUGUCUCUGAAUGUCAUCCCUAAGCCUCGAUACUCAUACAGUUUCCUAGGUCCCAUCAACCUCUCAAGUCUCAGGAUCCUCCAGCCCCAGCUAGACUUUUAUGUUUUGCCUUGAGUUAGCUUCCUAGCCUUUAACUUACCAUGUUUUCUGCCUAGACUGUCCUUCAAACCAUGUUGAUAAGGAACACUGUGCGUGGUCCUGAAGUCACCCCGUUGGCCUUGUGGGGAGCUACUGGCACUGCAUGCCUCCUUAUUGUUUAUGUGUGGGACCUGGCAUCAAGGACAUAGCCAUGCCAUAAGUGAAUAGCCAUAUGAACAAAAAGACAAGUACAC
RNAcentral lists this long non-coding RNA (883 nucleotides) under Cricetulus griseus (Chinese hamster). RNAcentral describes it as "lncRNA (ENSCGRG00000025872.1)". The record is from RNAcentral. Lineage: Eukaryota; Metazoa; Chordata; Mammalia; Rodentia; Cricetidae.